GAGCCCCAGGAAAGGCAGAAGCCCUAAGCUUGCCCAUUUGGGCAGAGGGAUCCUCCUCAUCUCCUCACUGUCACUGAACACAGGAAAAAUGCAUAAGAGGAAAAAAAGAAAAGACUCAAAACAAAAGACCUCAACAAACCCACAACCCCCUCCCCAAGCAAACAGCAAAACAACAAACCGAAGAGUCCUAAAACUCCCACAUCUUCCUGUUCUGAAGGCAUGGGAACCUUGAGAGCUAUUGCUUUCUCAGUGACGAGUGGUCAAUGCAGCCAGACUGUGGAAUUGGAGCUGACAAUGCUGCUUCUGUGACCAGUGUUGAAGCAAGCCCAGGGUGAGCCCUGUCAAGAAAAGACCCCAAUAUUGUACUGAUUACAAGUUGCAGUGCCACCGAAUUCCACUUUUGUCUUGAAUGGAGAGUUUCCUGUAAAUUUGUGUUUAUUUCACUGGGGACAGCCCCAUUUUCAGAUUUAUACCCUCUUCAUAGCUGUCUUUCAGUAUAAAAUGAAGUAAGUUCUGCUGUUGUGUGCAAAUAAACAGAGUUAAUUUCCAUUUCUA
Pogoniulus pusillus (Red-fronted tinkerbird) is the source of this 555-nucleotide long non-coding RNA. RefSeq lists it as uncharacterized. The record is from RefSeq and is a predicted model, not a curated record. Lineage: Eukaryota; Metazoa; Chordata; Aves; Piciformes; Lybiidae. The transcript is spliced from 2 exons.